UGCCAGCAGCCGCGGUAAUAUGUAGGUGGCAAGUGUUGUCAGGAAUUAGUGGGCGUAAAGGGCUCGCAGGCGCUUUCUUAAGUCUGAAGGGAAAGCCCCCGGCUCAGCCGGGGAGGGUCAUUGGAAACUGGGAUACUUGAGUGCAGAAGAGGAGAGUGGACCUCCACGUGUAGCGGUGAAAUGCGUAGAGAUGUGGAGGAACACCAGUGGCGAAGGCGACUCUCUGGUCUGUAACUAGACGCUGAGGAGCGAAAGCGUGGGGAGCGAACAGGAUUAGAUACCCUGGUAGUCCACGCCGUAAACGAUGAGUGCUAAGUGUUAGGGGGUUUCCGCCCCUUAGUGCUGCAGCUAACGCAUUAAGCACUCCGCCUGGGGAGUACGGUCGCAAGACUGAAACUCAAAGGAAUUGACGGGGGCCCGCACAAGCGGUGGAGCAUGUGGUUUAAUUCGAAGCAACGCGAGAGAACCUUACCAGGUCUUGACAUCCUCUGACAACCCUAGAGAUAGGGCUUUCCCUUCGGGGACAGAGUGACAGGUGGUGCAUGGUUGUCGUCAGCUCGUGUCGUGAGAUGUUGGGUUAAGUCCCGCAACGAGCGCAACCCUUGAUCUUAGUUGCCAGCAUUCAGUUGGGCACUCUAAGGUGACUGCCGGCUGACAAACCGGAGGAAGGUGGGGAUGACGUCAAAUCAUCAUGCCCCUUAUGACCUGGGCUACACACGUGCUACAAUGGACAGAACAAAGGCGAGCUGCGAGACCGCAAGGUUUAGCCAAUCCCACAAAUCUGUUCUGCAGUUCGGAUCAGGCAGUCUGCAACUCGACUGCGUGAAGCUGGAAUCGCUAGUAAUCGCGGAUCAGCAUGCCGCGGUGAAUACGUUCCCGGGCCUUGUACACCGACCGCCCGUCACAGCCACGAGAGUUUGCAACACCCGAAGUCGGUGAGGUAACCUUUAUGGAGCCAGCCGCCGAAGG
Molecule: ribosomal RNA, 969 nt
Filed under: Bacillus altitudinis
Lineage: Bacteria; Bacillati; Bacillota; Bacilli; Caryophanales; Bacillaceae
Description: bacterial SSU rRNA
Rfam family: Bacterial small subunit ribosomal RNA
Source: RNAcentral